GCUUCUGGCUCAGCUGCGCGAAGCCUCUUCAGGGCAGUGGGAGCCUUCAUCCCGCUGCCCUGAAGAGGCUUCGCGCAGCUAUCCCAGAAGC
Molecule: microRNA precursor, 91 nt
Filed under: Podarcis lilfordi (Lilford's wall lizard)
Lineage: Eukaryota; Metazoa; Chordata; Lepidosauria; Squamata; Lacertidae
Source: RNAcentral